RNAcentral lists this ribosomal RNA (449 nucleotides) under uncultured bacterium. RNAcentral's name for it is "bacterial SSU rRNA". It matches the Rfam family "Bacterial small subunit ribosomal RNA", at positions 328 to 793 of the family's 1533-position model. The record is from RNAcentral.
AAGCCAGACUCCUACGGGAGGCAGCAGUGGGGAAUAUUGCACAAUGGGGGAAACCCUGAUGCAGCGACGCCGCGUGAGCGAUGAAGUAUUUCGGUAUGUAAAGCUCUAUCAGCAGGGAAGAAAAUGACGGUACCUGACUAAGAAGCCCCGGCUAACUACGUGCCAGCAGCCGCGGUAAUACGUAGGGGGCAAGCGUUAUCCGGAAUUACUGGGUGUAAAGGGAGCGCAGACGGCAGUGCAAGUCUGGAGUGAAAGCCCGUGGCUUAACCACGGGACUGCUCUGGAAACUGUGCAGCUAGAGUGCAGGAGAGGCAGGCGGAAUUCCUAGUGUAGCGGUGAAAUGCGUAGAUAUUAGGAGGAACACCGGUGGCGAAGGCGGCCUGCUGGACUGUAACUGACGUUGAGGCUCGAAAGCGUGGGGAGCAAACAGGAUUAGAUACCCGCGUACG